AUGCCCUUGGUCAAGUGAAGUCAUAUGCUUGAAUACCAUGAUUCCAUGGACGCAAGGAAGAUGGAGUCACAUUCCUCGUCUCUGGAAUGUAGUCUUGAUUUGGGUAGGUAGUUUGUUUUUUUCAUCUGAGAUUUUAAAGUAGUUCAAAGGUUGAACUUUUAGAAUUGACGAUUUGGAAGAUCACAUUGUCAUUUUGCUGGUAGUCUUUAAUAUGGGUACAAUUUACCAGCAAGACAGGUGCACUCUCUCUCUCUCUCUCUCAAGUUAACUGUGCAGGCAAAUGGUUAUCUAGCACCAGGAUCAGGUAGGGCAUGAAGGGAUGCUGCAGCUCGUGCCAUGGAUGGUGGCACGUCCAGCGUCUAUUUGGUUAUGAUGAAGUUGGUGAGCCUACUAUUAAGGUUCAGUAAAACAAAAGAGACCAACAGAGGAGGUGCAUUCCGUGAAAGUUGCACGUAUUGGAACGGCUAACCAGUUAACCUCUGAUCAUGUCUAAUGUCUAUAUUUUUAUGGCAAAAGGAGCUGGCGACAACGGUUGUUGAUGCUGCCACCCCUGUUGAUUGGGUGAAGAUAGCAGGAAACUGUCAGUUUCUCUUGGAUGAAAUAGUUCUAUAUCCUCGAGUUUCCUCCAUUGGAGUUCUAUGUGCAGAAAGGUUACUUUAUGGUUUAUGCGGCUGUCCCUGGGCUUUUGCAUGAGCAGGUGCGCCUUCUAUCAGAUCCAAUUGGAUGCGGCUUAUUACAGGUCAACCAGAGCAGCCUGACAAUCCUGGGGGAAUCACAGCCUUCAAAAAGAUCUGUCAACCACUUCUUCAAUGUUCAUCAUCAUGAGUGUUAGGACAUAAAAUGCACUUGACAGAGUUGGAAUAAUUUGCGGCACAUGUGGUGAGCUAACCUGGAAGGAUUGAUCUGCUUCAGACCAUGGCCGACUCUUUGUUCAAGCCCCUUUUGAGCCACCCAAUAUAUCUGAUGCUAGUUUGAACAUUCAGUAAUGCAUCGGAUUUCUUAAGGAACAUCUCUGGGAAUAUUGCAGUGUGAUGAUCAGAGACCUUGUGGAUGGUGACCAAACAGCCAUGCGUAUUUGCUUUUCAUAUUGGUGUCAGAGGCUUUAAAUGAUGUUGCAAGGAAGGGUUUGUUGGCCAACCGCAUCAGAGGGAGGGAUUGGAUGGUGCCAUUUACGCCCCCUUUUCUAGAUGUUAACAUAAGGUGAACAAAAUUCAGUGAACUGUUUUAGACUUGUCCAUUUGAGGAAACACACCAAGAAGGAUUACCAUUUCUGCAAAGUAACUGGCGAGAGAAGAAACCUUAUGUUUUCCAUACCUAAUGGUGGAAUGUGGUUUGUAAGAAAUGAUUACCCAAUCAAUGGAAAUCUCUUCUUUUUUACACGUAUCCGAAUAUAUGGGUAUGAGAACUCUAUAAAAUAACAACGCUCUUAUUCCUCAGAGUUUAUCAGAACCCAGCACUCAAACCCACAAAAGAGUGGUAAUCGAGCUAGGGAGUUAUAUGAAUUGCUAUUAUGGCAGGGGAGGUGGCAGGAGAUGGCAAUCAGCAAGAGGCUUCCGCUUGAAUUUGAGGCAAUUUACAGUACGCCAGCUGCAAGUAAGGUUAUUUUACCUCAUUAGAUUCUUUUCUAGGUGGAAGUUUCGAUGUGAACAAGCCUCACAUUUGCUGAAGAAAGGCACAGGAAAUAGUUGCAGUAACAAUUGUUACAACAAUUGUACAAAAGGUACUAAACGACGAACUGCAGCAGCAAUGUUGGAGAGUGGACGCUCAAGGUCAUACUACGACUCAUCAAAUUCAUUUUAUUCAGAAUUAGCAAUUCGUGAAUGCCUGGAAUUCAUCAAGAUGAGUACUUCUUCUCUUUCUUCAGAUGAGGAAGCUAUUGACCGGUAGAUCGAUGGCUAAACCGCAUAUCAUUGUUUUAACAUUUGCGUCCAUAUGGUUGUAAUAAUUAAGCCCAAGUGUGUGUAUAUAUAUAUAUACACACACACAAGAGCUUGGAUAGGACUGUGAGCUUCCAGUAGCAUUGCAAGCAAAAUGUAAACCUUUCAUCUCUUUUAUUUAUGUUUCUAUUAAUGAAUUUUACAUGGUUAUGUG
Long non-coding RNA from Rhododendron vialii, 2091 nucleotides. RefSeq lists it as uncharacterized. Lineage: Eukaryota; Viridiplantae; Streptophyta; Magnoliopsida; Ericales; Ericaceae. The transcript is spliced from 6 exons. The record is from RefSeq and is a predicted model, not a curated record.